This 449-nucleotide ribosomal RNA is filed under the name uncultured bacterium. Its description in RNAcentral is "partial 16S ribosomal RNA". It matches the Rfam family "Bacterial small subunit ribosomal RNA", at positions 354 to 796 of the family's 1533-position model. The record is from RNAcentral.
GUUAGGAAUAUUGGACAAUGGGCGCAAGCCUGAUCCAGCCAUGCCGCGUGCAGGAUGAAGGCCUUCGGGUUGUAAACUGCUUUUGUACGGAACGAAAAGCCCUGGGUUAAUACCCUGGGGUCAUGACGGUACCGUAAGAAUAAGCACCGGCUAACUACGUGCCAGCAGCCGCGGUAAUACGUAGGGUGCGAGCGUUAAUCGGAAUUACUGGGCGUAAGCGUGCGCAGGCGGUUUUGUAAGACAGAGGUGAAAUCCCCGGGCUCAACCUGGGAACUGCCUUUGUGACUGCAAGGCUAGAGUACGGCAGAGGGGGAUGGAAUUCCGCGUGUAGCAGUGAAAUGCGUAGAUAUGCGGAGGAACACCGAUGGCGAAGGCAAUCCCCUGGGCCUGUACUGACGCUCAUGCACGAAAGCGUGGGGAGCAAACAGGAUUAGAAACCCCGGUAGUCC